AUGCAGCCUGACCACUGUGGUUCCACGGCUGUCACGUGGCCAGACUUCUUGCUCCUUGAAUCGCCAUACGUGACGCAGUCAAACUGGAAUGGUUCCAGAUCUGUUACUUGUGCGGCCUUGCAGAUCUACAUCACCGUCACAUUUUCUCCACAGCCCCGGGAACGAUGCAUGAGACAAGAGAGAAAUGGGGAAGAAAAAGAGAAGAUGGUUGAAAGAAGGAUGUUGCCUUGCUGA
Non-coding RNA from Vicia faba (fava bean), 234 nucleotides. The record is from the annotation of a GenBank genome assembly. Lineage: Eukaryota; Viridiplantae; Streptophyta; Magnoliopsida; Fabales; Fabaceae.